RNAcentral lists this ribosomal RNA (462 nucleotides) under uncultured bacterium. Its description in RNAcentral is "partial 16S ribosomal RNA". It matches the Rfam family "Bacterial small subunit ribosomal RNA", at positions 29 to 507 of the family's 1533-position model. The record is from RNAcentral.
ACGAACGCUGGCGGCGUGCUUCACACAUGCCAGUCGAACGGAAAGGCCUUUUCGGAGGUACUCGAGUGGCGAACGGGUGAGUAACACGUGGGUGAUCUGCCCUGCACUCUGGGAUAAGCCUGGGAAACUGGGUCUAAUACCGGAUAGGACCGCACUUUAGUGUGUGUGGUGGAAAGUUUUUUCGGUGUAGGAUGAGCCCGCGGCCUAUCAGCUUGUUGGUGGGGUAAUGGCCUACCAAGGCGGCGACGGGUAGCCGGACUGAGAGGUUGGUCGGCCACAUUGGGACUGAGAUACGGCCCAGACUCCUACGGGAGGCAGCAGUGGGGAAUAUUGCACAAUGGGCGCAAGCCUGAUGCAGCGACGCCGCGUGGGGGAGGACGGCCUUCGGGUUGUAAACUCCUUUCGCCAGGGACGAAGCGUUUUGUGACGGUACCUGGAGAAGAAGCACCGGCUAACUACGUG